GACUGGAUAGACUAGUGGUAAAGGCAUCACAUUGACAAUGCUGAGGUCCCAGGUUCAAAUCCUGGUCUAGUCA
RNAcentral lists this transfer RNA (73 nucleotides) under Cronartium ribicola 11-2. Its description in RNAcentral is "tRNA-Val (GAC) (tRNA-Val-GAC-56-1)". It matches the Rfam family "tRNA". From Rfam's summary of the family: Transfer RNA (tRNA) molecules are approximately 80 nucleotides in length. Their secondary structure includes four short double-helical elements and three loops (D, anti-codon, and T loops). Further hydrogen bonds mediate the characteristic L-shaped molecular structure. tRNAs have two regions of fundamental functional importance: the anti-codon, which is responsible for specific mRNA codon recognition, and the 3' end, to which the tRNAs corresponding amino acid is attached (by aminoacyl-tRNA synthetases). tRNAs cope with the degeneracy of the genetic code in two manners: having more than one tRNA (with a specific anti-codon) for a particular amino acid; and 'wobble' base-pairing, i.e. permitting non-standard base-pairing at the 3rd anti-codon position. Lineage: Eukaryota; Fungi; Basidiomycota; Pucciniomycetes; Pucciniales; Coleosporiaceae. The record is from RNAcentral.